Molecule: ribosomal RNA, 253 nt
Filed under: uncultured bacterium
Lineage: Bacteria
Description: partial 16S ribosomal RNA
Rfam family: Bacterial small subunit ribosomal RNA
Source: RNAcentral
UACGAAGGGGGCUAGCGUUGUUCGGAAUCACUGGGCGUAAAGGGCGCGUAGGCGGCUUUGUCAGUCGGGGGUGAAAGCCUGUGGCUCAACCACAGAAUUGCCUUCGAUACUGCAAGGCUUGAGACCGGAAGAGGUCAGUGGAACUGCGAGUGUAGAGGUGAAAUUCGUAGAUAUUCGCAAGAACACCAGUGGCGAAGGCGGCUGACUGGUCCGGAUCUGACGCUGAGGCGCGAAAGCGUGGGGAGCAAACAGG